This 253-nucleotide unclassified non-coding RNA is filed under the name Planctomycetia bacterium. RNAcentral describes it as "partial 16S ribosomal RNA". It matches the Rfam family "Bacterial small subunit ribosomal RNA", at positions 524 to 776 of the family's 1533-position model. The record is from RNAcentral. Lineage: Bacteria; Pseudomonadati; Planctomycetota; Planctomycetia. RNAcentral also lists the same sequence under 1 other name.
UACGUAGGAACCGAGCGUUGUCCGGAUUGACUGGGCGUAAAGGGCGAGUAGGUGGCUUGUUAAGUCUCAUGUGAAAUCUCCCGGCUCAACUGGGAGGGGUCAUGGGAAACUGGCAAGCUAGAGGGCAGCAGAGGGAAGCGGAAUUCCCGGAGUAGCGGUGAAAUGCGUAGAUACCGGGAGGAACACCAGUGGCGAAGGCGGCUUCCUGGGCUGUUCCUGACACUGAGGCGCGAAAGCGUGGGGAGCAAACCGG